AGUAACCUGCCCUGGAGUGGGGAAUAACAGCUGGAAACAGCUGCUAAUACCGCAUAAUGCAGUUGGGUCGCAUGGCUCUGACUGCCAAAGAUUUAUCGCUCUGGGAUGGACUCGCGUCUGAUUAGCUAGUCGGUGGGGUAACGGCCCACCAAGGCGACGAUCAGUAGCCGGACUGAGAGGUUGGCCGGCCACAUUGGGACUGAGACACGGCCCAGACUCCUACGGGAGGCAGCAG
RNAcentral lists this ribosomal RNA (235 nucleotides) under uncultured bacterium. RNAcentral's name for it is "partial 16S ribosomal RNA". It matches the Rfam family "Bacterial small subunit ribosomal RNA", at positions 120 to 354 of the family's 1533-position model. The record is from RNAcentral.